UUCCGGUUGAUCCUGCCGGACCUUACUGCUAUCGGGAUGAGACUAAGCCAUGCAUGUCGAGCGCUCUUCAGCUAUGUAGAGAGCGCGGCGAACGGCUCAAUAACACGUAGUUAACCUACCCUCGGGAUGGGAAUAACCCCGGGAAACUGGGAUUAAUACCCACUAGAUGAUUAUACCUGGAAUGGCUUAUCAUCGAAAGAGUCUGGAAACAUGCUUCCAGCGUCGCCCGAGGAUGGGACCGCGUCCGAUCAGGUAGUUGGUAGGGUAAUGGCCUACCAAGCCUAUAACCGGUACGGGCCCUGAGAGGGGGAGCCCGGAGAUGGAAACUGAGAAAAGGUUCCAGGCCCUACGGGGUGCAGCAGGCGCGAAACCUCCACAAUGCGCGAAAGCGUGAUGGGGUUAUCCCGAGUGCCGUCCGAUGAGGAUGGCUUUUUAUCGAUGUAAGGAUUCGAUAGAAUAAAGGGGGGGCAAGACUGGUGUCAGCCGCCGCGGUAAUACCAGCCCCCUGAGUGGUAAGGACGAUUAUUUGGCCUAAAGCGUUCGUAGCCGGCUUAUCAAGUCUUUUGUUAAAUCCAACGAUUCAAUCGUUGGGCUGCAAAAGAUACUGUUAUGCUAGAGGACGGGAGAGGUCGACGGUAGUCCAGGGGUAGGGGUGAAAUCCUAUAAUCCUUGGAGGACCACCAGUGGCGAAGGCGGUCGACUAGAACGUGCCUGACGGUGAGGGACGAAAGCUGGGGGAGCGAACCGGAUUAGAUACCCGGGUAGUCCCAGCUGUAAACGAUGCGGGCUAGGUGUUGGGGCAGCCACGAGCUGCUCCAGUGCCGCAGAGAAGUUGUUAAGCCCGCCGCCUGGGGAGUACGGCCGCAAGGCUGAAACUUAAAGGAAUUGGCGGGGGAGCACAGCAACGGGUGG
RNAcentral lists this ribosomal RNA (912 nucleotides) under uncultured archaeon. Its description in RNAcentral is "bacterial SSU rRNA". It matches the Rfam family "Archaeal small subunit ribosomal RNA", at positions 1 to 891 of the family's 1478-position model. The record is from RNAcentral.